This 394-nucleotide ribosomal RNA is filed under the name uncultured bacterium. RNAcentral describes it as "bacterial SSU rRNA". It matches the Rfam family "Bacterial small subunit ribosomal RNA", at positions 129 to 518 of the family's 1533-position model. The record is from RNAcentral.
CCUGUAAGCGGGGAAUAACUCGUGAAAGACGGACUAAUACCGCAUAAUACUAAAUUACUGCAUGGUAAUUUAUUUAAACAUUUAUGGCUUACAGAUGGGCAUGCGCAUGAUUAGCUAGUUGGAGAGGUAACGGCUCCCCAAGGCAACGAUCAUUAGGGGUUCUGAGACGGAAGGUCCCCCACACUGGUACUGAGACACGGACCAGACUCCUACGGGAGGCAGCAGUGAGGAAUAUUGGUCAAUGGACGAGAGUCUGAACCAGCCAAGUCGCGUGCAGGAAGAAUGUUACCCUAUGGAUUGUAAACUGCUUUUGCAGGGGAAUAAAGUGCAUCACGUGUGAUGUUUUGUAUGUACUCUGCGAAUAAGGAUCGGCUAACUCCGUGCCAGCCGCCGC